RNAcentral lists this ribosomal RNA (404 nucleotides) under Verrucomicrobiota bacterium. RNAcentral's name for it is "Verrucomicrobia bacterium partial 16S ribosomal RNA". It matches the Rfam family "Bacterial small subunit ribosomal RNA", at positions 355 to 776 of the family's 1533-position model. Lineage: Bacteria; Pseudomonadati; Verrucomicrobiota. The record is from RNAcentral.
UGGGGAAUAUUGGACAAUGGGCGCAAGCCUGAUCCAGCCAUGCCGCGUGAGUGAUGAAGGCCCUAGGGUUGUAAAGCUCUUUCACCGGUGAAGAUAAUGACGGUAACCGGAGAAGAAGCCCCGGCUAAAUACGUGCCAGCAGCCGCGGUAAUACGUAUGUUGCGAGCGUUAUCCGGAAUUAUUGGGCUUAAAGGGCAUCUAGGCGGUAAGACAAGUUGAAGGUGAAAACCUGUGGCUCAACCAUAGGCUUGCCUACAAAACUGUUGAACUAGAGUACUGGAAAGGUGGGUGGAACUACACGAGUAGAGGUGAAAUUCGUAGAUAUGUGUAGGAAUGCCGAUGAUGAAGAUAACUCACUGGACAGAAACUGACGCUGAAGUGCGAAAGCUAGGGGAGCAAACAGG